UACGGAGGGUGCAAGCGUUAUCCGGAUUCACUGGGUUUAAAGGGUGCGUAGGUGGGCAGGUAAGUCAGUGGUGAAAUCCUGUAGCUUAACUACAGAACUGCCAUUGAUACUAUUGUCUUGAAUACCCUGGAGGUGAGCGGAAUAUGUCAUGUAGCGGUGAAAUGACUUAGAUAUGACAUAGAACAUCAUUGCGAAGGCAGCUCACUACGGGAAUAUUGACGCUGAGGCACGAAAGCGUGGGGAUCAAACAGG
Molecule: ribosomal RNA, 252 nt
Filed under: uncultured bacterium
Lineage: Bacteria
Description: partial 16S ribosomal RNA
Rfam family: Bacterial small subunit ribosomal RNA
Source: RNAcentral